This 372-nucleotide ribosomal RNA is filed under the name uncultured organism. Its description in RNAcentral is "partial 16S ribosomal RNA". It matches the Rfam family "Bacterial small subunit ribosomal RNA", at positions 527 to 896 of the family's 1533-position model. The record is from RNAcentral.
GUAGGUGGCAAGCGUUGUCCGGAAUUAUUGGGCGUAAAGCGCGCGCAGGCGGUCCUUUAAGUCUGAUGUGAAAGCCCACGGCUCAACCGUGGAGGGUCAUUGGAAACUGGGGGACUUGAGUACAGAAGAGGAAAGCGGAAUUCCAAGUGUAGCGGUGAAAUGCGUAGAGAUUUGGAGGAACACCAGUGGCGAAGGCGGCUUUCUGGUCUGUAACUGACGCUGAGGCGCGAAAGCGUGGGGAGCAAACAGGGAUUAGAUACCCUGGUAGUCCACGCCGUAAACGAUGAGUGCUAAGUGUUAGGGGGUUUCCCGCCCCUUAGUGCUGCAGCUAACGCAUUAAGCACUCCGCCUGGGGAUACGGCCGCAAGGCUA